UGGGGAAUAUUGGACAAUGGGCGCAAGCCUGAUCCAGCCAUGCCGCGUGAGUGAUGAAGGCCCUAGGGUUGUAAAGCUCUUUUGUGCGGGAAGAUAAUGACUGUACCGCAAGAAUAAGCCCCGGCUAACUUCGUGCCAGCAGCCGCGGUAAUACGAAGGGGGCUAGCGUUGCUCGGAAUCACUGGGCGUAAAGGGUGCGUAGGCGGGUCUUUAAGUCAGGGGUGAAAUCCUGGAGCUCAACUCCAGAACUGCCUUUGAUACUGAGGAUCUUGAGUUCGGGAGAGGUGAGUGGAACUGCGAGUGUAGAGGUGAAAUUCGUAGAUAUUGGUAGGAACACCCAUUGCGAAGGCGGUCUCUUGGUCCGACACUGACGCUGAGGCGCGAAAGCGUGGGGAGCAAACA
This 402-nucleotide ribosomal RNA is filed under the name uncultured bacterium. RNAcentral's name for it is "bacterial SSU rRNA". It matches the Rfam family "Bacterial small subunit ribosomal RNA", at positions 355 to 774 of the family's 1533-position model. The record is from RNAcentral.